This is a long non-coding RNA of Mus musculus (house mouse), 1064 nucleotides long. RefSeq annotates it as predicted gene, 35271. NCBI's taxonomy places the organism in Eukaryota, Metazoa, Chordata, Mammalia, Rodentia, Muridae. The record is from RefSeq and is a predicted model, not a curated record. The transcript is spliced from 3 exons.
UAACUCCAGCCUGUGUCAAGUUGACACAAAACUAGCUGGUACACCCAGGGAGCUGUCUUUCCAGCUCCAAAACAAAGUAUUGUUCAAGCAACAAUUAGAAAUUUCAUUAUUUCAUGUAUUGAUCAGUGGUUGUUUUAAUGGUACCCAAUAACAGUUUCUUUAAAUUUCUGUGGCCACAACAUUGUGUGUGUGUUUUGUGUUUAUGUGUUCAUGUAAUUAUGUGUGUGUAGAUGCAUAUGUGUGCUUGUGCAUAUGAUGGCCAGACAUUAACAUCAAAUAUCUUCUCAAUGACACAUUUCUUUCUGUUCGGAGACAGAGUGCCCCCCUGAAGUCAACGUUUAUAUUUUCAGUUAGAUUCACUGGCCAAGGAAGAACAGGCCAUGUCACUAUCACCACCACCUUGCCAGCACUGGGUUUAUAGACACACACCAUUUCAGCAGGCUUUUGCAUGGGUACUGAAGAGCUGAACUCAAGUCUCCAUGAUUGCUCUAGAGACAUUUCUGGAACUGGGCCACAUCCCCUGCUCCCUCACAAGAGAGGAAUUGAUUUCACUCUAUGGUGUCGAUUAAGGCACUCUCAGACUCAGGGCCACUGUUGCUCUUCGAUCCAUGAAGACAUCUGCUCUCAUUUUUUCCUUUGGGGAGCAAUGCUUCAGAACACAACCUUCUCGUGGAAGAAGUCAAACUCAGGGGCAAUGAAGACAAGGAACACCCAGAUCCCACUGCAGCCCUGGUUCCUGAGGAAAAUCAUGGCAUGCUCUCCACAUCUCAGGAGAAAACAGCAAGAGACACUUAGCCAAGGCCAACAAGAGAAAAGAAAAUAUGUUUUGACCUCAACAAAAAGAACACGGUAGAAGGCAGAUGUGAGCAAGAGGUCAAUUCUAACAUUUUCCAUGUGGUUGCCAGAGAAGGUUCCCAUAAAUUAAGGAAAAGUGUUAACUUUGGAAACUUAAGUUUGAGAAAAGAAGAAGAGGAGGAGGAGGAGGAACCCCACAUAGAACACUCAGAGGGCAAAGGCAUCUCUGAUGUCAUGUGUGUCCCCCAACAACUGGAGCAAGGGCUAUC